Molecule: ribosomal RNA, 253 nt
Filed under: uncultured bacterium
Lineage: Bacteria
Description: partial 16S ribosomal RNA
Rfam family: Bacterial small subunit ribosomal RNA
Source: RNAcentral
UACGUAGGGGGCAAGCGUUGUCCGGAUUUAUUGGGCGUAAAGAGCGUGUAGGCGGCCAUUCAGGUCAGCUGUGAAAACUCGAGGCUCAACCUCGAGACGUCGGUUGAAACCGUUUGGCUAGAGUCCGGAAGAGGAGAGUGGAAUUCCCGGUGUAGCGGUGAAAUGCAUUGAGAUCGGAAAGAACACCAACGGCGAAAGCACUCUGCUGGGCCGACACUGACACUGAGAGACGAAAGCUAGGGGAGCAAAUGGG